Molecule: long non-coding RNA, 1008 nt
Organism: Gopherus flavomarginatus (Mexican gopher tortoise)
Lineage: Eukaryota; Metazoa; Chordata; Testudines; Testudinidae
Exons: 4
Source: RefSeq, a predicted model, not a curated record
GGCGAGGGGGGUCAGGGGGCACCAGGGACCAGGCCUCAGCCACCCCGAGGGGCUCCUACCCCCCUGCUCCGUGGUACGGGCUCCCGGGGGGGGGGAUCGGUGCGUGGCGGGGAGCUGCGUGCACGGGCAGGGCCCAUCGCUGACACAGCCGGCUGCACGGGGCUGUGCACAGGAGUGCACGUGUGUGUGCUGAGGUGUGUGUCCAUAUCCCGGUGCGCAGGAGAGCUGCUGUGCGUGUCCCGGUGCACGUGUGUGUGCUGAGGUGUGUGUCCAUAUCCCGGUGCGCAGGAGAGCUGCUGUGCAUGUCCCGGUGCACGUGUGUGUGCUGAGGUAUGUGUCCAUAUCCCAGUGCGCAGGAGAGCUGGUGUGUGUGUCCUGGUGCACGUGUGUGUGCUGAGGUAUGUGUCCAUAUCCCGGUGCGCAGGAGAGCUGGUGUGUGUGUCCUGGUGCACGUGUGUGUGCUGAGGUGUGUGUCUGUUUCCCAGUGCACAUGGGUGUGCACAACCAGGCUGGUGUGUGUGUCCCGGUGCACAGGGGUGUGUGCAGGAGUGCACGUAUGUGUGCUGAGGUGUGUAUCUGUUUCCUGGUGCGCAGGAGAGCUAGUGUGUGUGUCUCGGUGCACGGGAGUGUUCACAGGAGUGCACGCGUCUGUGCUGAGGUGUGUGUUUGUGUCCCGGUGCACAGGAGUGUGCACAGGAGGUCUGGCGUGUUUGUCCCAGUGCACAGGGGUGUGGACAGGAGUGCACACGAGUGUGCUGAGGUGCAUGUCCGUGUCCCAGUGCACGGGGGUGUGCGCAGGAGUGCACACGAGUGUGCUGAGGUGUGUGUCCCUGUCCUGGUGCACAGGGGUCUGCACAGGAGGGCUGGCGUGUGUCCUCCGGUGCAGGGCGUGUGCGCCGGAGCUGGAGGGAUUAGGAAACACACGCGGAUCCCCCCCACGGCUGCUGCGGGUCGCUGGGAGGCGCCGGGACCCCCAGGACCUUGCCCCCACGCGCGGGAUCGGGGGUC